UACGGAGGGUGCGAGCGUUGUCCGGAAUCACUGGGCGUAAAGGGCGCGUAGGUGGCCUGUGGAAGUCUGCGGUGAAAGCCCGGCGCUCAACGCCGGGUCGGCCGUGGAUACUCUCGGGCUCGAGCUUACUAGAGGCAGAUGGAAUUCCGGGUGUAGCGGUGGAAUGCGUAGAGAUCCGGAAGAACACCCGUGGCGAAAGCGGCUCUCUGGAACGGUACUGACGCUGAGACGCGAAAGCGUGGGGAGCGAACAGG
This 254-nucleotide ribosomal RNA is filed under the name uncultured bacterium. RNAcentral describes it as "partial 16S ribosomal RNA". It matches the Rfam family "Bacterial small subunit ribosomal RNA", at positions 524 to 776 of the family's 1533-position model. The record is from RNAcentral.